GCCAGGCCCAGAGCUAGAGGCUCAGGAGGCAACAUUCUCAGGGCAUCACCACCAUGGCUUGGGCUCUGCUUGUCCUCACCCUCCUCUCCCAAGGCACAGGAUCCUGGUCUCAGUCUGCUCUGAAUCAGCCUCCAUCAGCCUCUGGGUCUUCAGGACAGACAGUCACCAUCUCCUGCACUGGUACCAGCAAUGAUAUUGGGAGAUAUAAUAGUGUCUCCUGGUAUCGAAAUCUCCCAGGAGCAUCCCCCACACUCCUGAUUUAUGGAGUCACUAAUCGUCCUUCUGGGAUACCUGAUCGCUUCUCUGGUUCCAAGUCUGGCAACACAGCCUCUCUGACAAUUUCUAGACUUCAGCCUGAGGAUGAGGCUGAUUAUUACUGCUGCUCAUACACAAGCAGCAGUACUUGGGUGUUCGGCGGAGGGACCAAGUUGACCGUCCUAGGUCAGCCCAAGGCUGGGCCCUCGCUCACCCUGUUCCCACCCUCCUCUGAUGAGCUCCAGAGCAACAAGGCCACACUGGUGUGUCUGAUCAACGACUUCUACCCGGGUGCCGUGACCGUGAACUGGAAGAAAGAUGGCACCAAGGUCACCCAGGGCGUGCAGAACACUCAGCCCUCCAAACAGACCAACAAUAAGUACAUGGCCAGCAGCUACCUGACUCUGACAGCAGAUGAGUGGAAAUCUCAUAAUUCAUUCACCUGCCAGGUCACUCAUGAGGGGAGCACCGUGGAGAAGAGUGUGUCCCCUGCACAGUGUUCCUAGGUCCCAGACCCUCACUCCACCCUGGACCUGAAAACCCCAGGGAAGCUUCUCUCCUCCCACCCCUACCAUCCCAGCCCUUCUCCCUCAACCCAGAAACCCUCAAUAAACAUUCUCCUUUUCAACCAGAAAA
Molecule: non-coding RNA, 891 nt
Organism: Marmota flaviventris (yellow-bellied marmot)
Lineage: Eukaryota; Metazoa; Chordata; Mammalia; Rodentia; Sciuridae
Source: the annotation of a RefSeq genome assembly